UCCGGUUUGUCACCGGCAGUCUCGCAUGAGUCCCCAACUAAAUGCUGGCAACAUACGACGGGGGUUGCGCUCGUUGCGGGACUUAACCCAACAUCUCACGACACGAGCUGACGACAGCCAUGCACCACCUGUUUAAGUGCCCCGAAGGGAGACUGUGUUUCCACAGCUGUCACUUAAAUGUCAAGCCCAGGUAAGGUUCUUCGCGUCGCGUCGAAUUAAACCACAUGCUCCGCUGCUUGUGCGGGUCCCCGUCAAUUCCUUUGAGUUUUAGCCUUGCGGCCGUACUCCCCAGGCGGGGCACUUAAUGCGUUAGCGUCGGCACGGGGGGAGUCGACACCCCCCACACCUAGUGCCCAUCGUUUACAGCGUGGACUAC
Molecule: unclassified non-coding RNA, 376 nt
Filed under: uncultured Solirubrobacterales bacterium
Lineage: Bacteria; Bacillati; Actinomycetota; Thermoleophilia; Solirubrobacterales
Description: contains 16S-23S intergenic spacer region
Source: RNAcentral